GUCCUUUUGAUAAUAAUAUAAGGUCUAACCUGCCCACUGAAAUUUUAAAGGGCCGCAGUAUUUUAACUGUGCAAAGGUAGCAUAAUAAUUAGUUUCUUAAUUAGAAGCUGGUAUGAAUGGUUGAACGAGAAAUUUACUGUCUCAAUUUAUAUAUUAAAAUUUUAUUUUUAAGUUAAAAAGCUUAAAUUUAUUUAAAAGACGAGAAGACCCUAUAGAGUUUUAUAAAUUUAAUUAUAUUAUUUUUAGAAUUUUUUUUUAGUUAUAUUUAUUUUAUUGGGGUGAUAUAUAAAUUUAAUAAACUUUAUAUUUUUAAUAACAUUAAUUAAUGUUUAGUUGAUCCAUAUAAAUGAUUAAAAGAAAAAAUUACCUUAGGGAUAACAGCGUAAUUUUUUUUUAGAGUUCUAAUCGAAAAAAAAGAUUGCGACCUCGAUGUUGGAUUAAAAUUAAUUUUUGGUGUAGAAGCUAAAAUAUUAGGCCUGUUCGACCUUUAAAAUUUUACAUGAUCUGA
Molecule: ribosomal RNA, 508 nt
Filed under: Hydraena stussineri
Lineage: Eukaryota; Metazoa; Arthropoda; Insecta; Coleoptera; Hydraenidae
Description: partial 16S ribosomal RNA
Rfam family: Bacterial large subunit ribosomal RNA
Source: RNAcentral